Molecule: ribosomal RNA, 393 nt
Filed under: uncultured bacterium
Lineage: Bacteria
Description: partial 16S ribosomal RNA
Rfam family: Bacterial small subunit ribosomal RNA
Source: RNAcentral
AUACGGAGGAUCCGAGCGUUAUCCGGAUUUAUUGGGUUUAAAGGGUGCGCAGGCGGGAGGUUAAGUCGGCGGGGAAAUUUUUCAGCUCAACUGUGGAAGUGCCUUCGAUACUGGGUUUCUUGAGUGUAGGUGAAGAAGGAGGAAUUUUUGGUGUAGCGGGGAAAUGCUUAGAUAUAACGAGGAACUCCGAUUGCGCAGGCAGCUUACUAAACCACUACUGACGCUCAGGCACGAAGGCGUGGGGAUCAAACAGGAUUAGAUUCCCUGGUAGUCCACGCAGUAAACGAUGAUUACUGGCUGUUUGCGAUACAAUUUAAGCGGCUGAGCGAAAGCGUUAAGUAAUCCACCUGGGGAGUACGUUCGCAAGAAUGAAACUCAAAGGAAUUGACGGGG